AGCGAACGUUAGCGGCGGGCCUAACACAUGCAAGUCGAACGGGCUGUAGCAAUACAGUCAGUGGCGCACGGGUGCGUAACGCGUAGAUAAUCUACCUCUCAGUGGGGGAUAACUAGGGGAAACGUCUAGCUAAUACCGCAUAAGACCACGGAGUCUUCGGGCUUUGAGGGAAAGGCGGCCUCUGAAUAUGCUGUCGCUGGGAGAUGAGUCUGCGUCCCAUCAGCUAGUUGGUGAGGUAAUGGCUCACCAAGGCAAAGACGGGUAGCUGGUCUGAGAGGAUGAUCAGCCACACUGGCACUGGAACACGGGCCAGACUCCUACGGGAGGCAGCAGUGGGGGAAUAUUGGGCAAUGGGCGGAAGCCUGACCCAGCCACGCCGCGUGAGUGAUGAAGGCCUUCGGUUGUAAAGCUCUGUGGGGAGAGACGAAAGAGCGGAACCGUAAUACGUUCCGUGUUGACGGUAUCUCCUUA
This 471-nucleotide ribosomal RNA is filed under the name uncultured bacterium. RNAcentral's name for it is "bacterial SSU rRNA". It matches the Rfam family "Bacterial small subunit ribosomal RNA", at positions 29 to 485 of the family's 1533-position model. The record is from RNAcentral.